Molecule: long non-coding RNA, 515 nt
Organism: Osmerus eperlanus (European smelt)
Lineage: Eukaryota; Metazoa; Chordata; Actinopteri; Osmeriformes; Osmeridae
Exons: 3
Source: RefSeq, a predicted model, not a curated record
GUUUCAUCUCACCGUCCUCUUUGUGAAUGGGCUUUUAGGGACGAUGACGCAGGGAUUAGCCAACCUUUGAAAGAAGCCCAUCCCAAAUCAUUUACAAGACCAUGGCAUCUGAUCUACAUUCCAUGUAGGCUAAAUCCAAUGCCAUAGCCUACCGAAUGACCUAGCUACAUACAAGUUUGUCGGUUUUCUCAAGUUUCUAAUGCCCUCUUACACUCCACUGUCGCUGUCCUUAGUUUAGUGCUGAAAGUUCCGUUCCAAACAAUCAGCAGCGAAACACAAAUGCAGCUGUCUGUCUUACCACGUACCCGUUGGCGGAGACAAGUGGGACAGACCAACCGAUGCCAGCGGUCUCAUUUGCUGGGCAGUGACCUGCUUGGACAGGCACAGGCCACGAGAGCCGUGAGAAAGGGCAUCAACAUAUCUCUCAGGAGAAUAAGGGCAGCUGACUGCCCACAGCGGGUUCACGAGGACCCAUCCCCGCCACGGCUUACCCUCCCAACAGACACCAGUGGCCC